UACAGAGGGUGCAAGCGUUAAUCGGAUUUACUGGGCGUAAAGCGUGCGUAGGCGGCUAUUUAAGUCGGAUGUGAAAGCCCUGGGCUCAACCUGGGAACUGCAUUCGAUACUGGGUAGCUGGAGAUCGGUAGAGGGCGGCGGAAUUCCGGGUGUAGCGGUGAAAUGCGUAGAUAUCCGGAGGAACACCGAUGGCGAAGGCAACCGCCUGGGCCUGAUCUGACGCUGAGGCACGAAAGCGUGGGGAGCAAACAGG
This 253-nucleotide ribosomal RNA is filed under the name uncultured bacterium. Its description in RNAcentral is "partial 16S ribosomal RNA". It matches the Rfam family "Bacterial small subunit ribosomal RNA", at positions 524 to 776 of the family's 1533-position model. The record is from RNAcentral.